Molecule: long non-coding RNA, 1505 nt
Filed under: Nicotiana benthamiana
Lineage: Eukaryota; Viridiplantae; Streptophyta; Magnoliopsida; Solanales; Solanaceae
Description: long non-coding RNA (NBEN_LNC005316)
Source: RNAcentral
AAGCUGCAUUGGAACAAAGACAAAAUUAGGAACCAAAGCAAGACAAAACAAAAUAAUAAAGCAUAAGUAAUCCCGCAGAAAUAAUGUAAAUAAUUAUGCAAACAUAAGAAACAUAAAUACAGUCGCAUGCAAUAAUAAAAUCAAAAUUGCAGGCUUUUUUUGAAUAAACAAAUUCAGGAAAAGUAAGGACAAUGUUUUACUUAGGGAAAAGGCAAUAACAAUCAAUCAAACCUAACAAGAUUCUGAAUCCAAUCAUGAGUUGGAAAGCCCUUUUGAAGAAAGGUUCAACAUACAUAUAAAAGUGUAUAAACAUGCAUAAACAAGAAAGGACGGUCAUGCUAAUCAGAAGAGUGUGGUAUAUAAGAGUUCAAAAUCAUAACUAAGAGGCUCAAAUUUAGUACAUAGACCCAAAAUUAGUUUUGAGAGAAUUCAGGCUUCCAAAAUAGUACCGUAGUCCAAACAUAAGAUCAAAUUCGUCAAAACCAGCAAAUCCUAGGGUUUUCGACUCGAGUAAGAUACAUAGACAAAGAAGCAAGUAAUUGAAACAUGCUCAAAGAUUUCUUUCAGAGACUCAUGAGAAAACAAAUAUAUAAAAUUAGCAUGUUCAAGGCAAAUAGAAUGCAGAACUAGUUUGAAUCAUAGUGAGGAUAGAAAGGACAUGUUUAGAAAACCUGGGACAUAAACAAGUUCAGUAGUGUAGCCCUUAAGAAAAUAGUAGAAGAAAUAUGUGAAAAGAGAACUCAAAAAAAGGUCCAGUAAAGUCAAACAAAGAACUUAAGAACUUAGUAGGAAAUACAUAAAGUAAAAGAGUUCAACAUACCAGAAAAACAUAUCAGCAAGACAUACAGAAAAAACACAACAAGAUGAACAUGUGAGCAUGGUCUUGAAGCACAACAGUACACAAAGCACAGACGAAUCAUGUAUAGUAGAAAGAAAGUAGAAUAAAAAACAUGAGUGGUCGAAAAGAAAACAUACGAACAUAGUAUAUACAAAUAUAUAUAAAGAAAAGAAAAGGAAGAGUCAGAAAAACAUUUAGGCUUUUUCAGCAACCCUAAAUUGAAGAGAAGUAAUUUUUGAAAGACAAAAUUGGGGAAAACAUAUUAAAACUCUAGUAGAACACAAAUAUAGAACAGAUUUAAAGAAACAACCAAGGAAAAAACCUCGUAUAGCUAGGGUUUUAGAGAAAACCCUAGAAUUAGAAAGGCUUGGUAAAGGUCCGAUCUUGAGUCGGAUGAGUCAGAACUAGGCUUGAAAUACUUUGGAUACGCCGGAGCAAGGCUGGAGAGGCCAUGGAACCAUGGAUCUGAGAAGAUCUGAAAGGACACUGUCGAGGUCAGACCUUGAAACUUCGAACCCCAAACGUUGAAGAGUGGAGGGAGGUGAGUACAGGCCAUCCAUGGCCUGAGAAGCCAUGGAUUCUGGUGAGAUGGCGGUUGAAAAUGGUAGAAGAGAACUAAGGUUUUAGGAACCUUCGUGAGAUAUUUGAGAGAUGAGAAUGUUUGAAG